Molecule: small nucleolar RNA, 129 nt
Organism: Chlorocebus sabaeus (green monkey)
Lineage: Eukaryota; Metazoa; Chordata; Mammalia; Primates; Cercopithecidae
Source: Ensembl
CUCAUACCUAAACCCAAGCAUCACUUUCUUAUUGUGAUGAUUUAAACAGAUGCAAACAGCAAGCACAUCUUGUCACCUUUGCGAGGCAGUGGCUGUGCCCCUCACAGUAAAUUUGGAAGUUCUACAUCC